GCGUUGUCCGGAUUUAUUGGGCGUAAAGAGCUCGUAGGUGGUUCGGUAAGUCGGAUGUGCAAUCUCCAGGCUCAACCUGGAGGGGUCAUUCGAUACUGCCGUGACUAGAGGUCGGUAGGGGAGUGUGGAAUUCCUGGUGGAGCGGUGAAAUGCGCAGAUAUCAGGAGGAACACCCGUAGCGAAGGCGGCAGUCUGGGCAGAUACUGACACUGAGGAGCGAAAGCGUGGGGAGCGAACAGG
RNAcentral lists this ribosomal RNA (240 nucleotides) under uncultured bacterium. RNAcentral's name for it is "partial 16S ribosomal RNA". It matches the Rfam family "Bacterial small subunit ribosomal RNA", at positions 538 to 776 of the family's 1533-position model. The record is from RNAcentral.